AGGUAACGGCUCACCAAGGCUAAGACGGGUAGCUGGUCUGAGAGGACGACCAGCCACACUGGAACUGAGACACGGUCCAGACACCUACGGGUGGCAGCAGUCGAGAAUUUUUCUCAAUGGGCGAAAGCCUGAAGGAGCGACGCCGCGUGGGGGAUGAAGGGCUUCGGCCCGUAAACCCCUGUCAGUUGCGAACAAACCUUACGGUUUAAUACACCGUGAGUUGAUAGUAGCGGAAGAGGAAGGGACGGCUAACUCUGUGCCAGCAGCCGCGGUAAUACAGAGGUCCCAAGCGUUGUUCGGAUUCACUGGGCGUAAAGGGUGCGUAGGUGGCAGGGUAAGUUUGAUGUGAAAUCUCCGGGCUUAACCCGGAAACUGCAUUGAAUACUCUCCUGCUCGAGGGUUGGAGGGGGGACUGGAAUUCUCGGUGUAGCAGUGAAAUGCGUAGAUAUCGAGAGGAACACCAGUGGCGAAGGCGAGUCCCUGGACAACUCCUGACACUGAGGCACGAGAGCUAGGGGAGCAAACAGGAUUAGAUACCCUGGUAGUCCUAGCCGUAAACGGUGCGUAUUUGCUGUAAAAGGAUUCGACCCCUUUUGUGGCGUAGCCAACGCGUUAAAUACGCCGCCUGGGAAGUACGGUCGCAAGAUUAAA
RNAcentral lists this ribosomal RNA (651 nucleotides) under uncultured bacterium. RNAcentral's name for it is "bacterial SSU rRNA". It matches the Rfam family "Bacterial small subunit ribosomal RNA", at positions 255 to 898 of the family's 1533-position model. The record is from RNAcentral.